This 484-nucleotide ribosomal RNA is filed under the name uncultured bacterium. RNAcentral's name for it is "partial 16S ribosomal RNA". It matches the Rfam family "Bacterial small subunit ribosomal RNA", at positions 29 to 507 of the family's 1533-position model. The record is from RNAcentral.
AUUGAACGCUGGCGGCAUGCUUUACACAUGCAAGUCGAACGGCAGCGCGGGCUUCGGCCUGGCGGCGAGUGGCGAACGGGUGAGUAAUACAUCGGAACGUGCCCAGUAGUGGGGGAUAGCUCGGCGAAAGCCGGAUUAAUACCGCAUACGACCUGAGGGUGAAAGCGGGGGAUCUUCGGACCUCGCGCUAUUGGAGCGGCCGAUGGCAGAUUAGCUAGUUGGUGGGGUAAAGGCCUACCAAGGCGACGAUCUGUAGCUGGUCUGAGAGGACGACCAGCCACACUGGGACUGAGACACGGCCCAGACUCCUACGGGAGGCAGCAGUGGGGAAUUUUGGACAAUGGGCGAAAGCUUGAUCCAGCAAUGCCGCGUGUGUGAUGAAGGCCUUCGGGUUGUAAAGCACUUUUGGCGGGAACGAAAAGGACUGUGCCAAUACCACGGUUCGAUGACGGUACCCGCAGAAUAAGCACCGGCUAACUACGUG